RNAcentral lists this transfer RNA (68 nucleotides) under Marmota monax (woodchuck). RNAcentral's name for it is "tRNA.Ala". Lineage: Eukaryota; Metazoa; Chordata; Mammalia; Rodentia; Sciuridae. The record is from RNAcentral.
GUUGUGGCUCAGAGGUAGAGCGCUUACCUAGCAUGCGUGAUGUACUGGGUUCUAUUCUCAGCACAACA